This is a long non-coding RNA of Hemicordylus capensis (graceful crag lizard), 1015 nucleotides long. RefSeq lists it as uncharacterized. NCBI's taxonomy places the organism in Eukaryota, Metazoa, Chordata, Lepidosauria, Squamata, Cordylidae. The record is from RefSeq and is a predicted model, not a curated record. The transcript is spliced from 4 exons.
GUCCGUAACAAUUUUAGGCAUAAAAUAUGGGUCCAGGUGAAGGACGACUUUGUCUAGAUGGAACUUCUAUGUCUAGAUGGAACUUUGUCUAGAUGGAACUUCGUAUAAGGAACAUCAAUGCGUAGGGCAUUUAGUUUGUUCACUCUCUGAGCUAAAGUUAUGGCCAAUAGAAAGGCCAUUUUCAAUGUUGUAAGUUUAGGUUGAGCCAUCACCAUAGGCUCAAAGCAUGGUUCUGUUAAGGCUGAUAGAACAAGGGAAAGACUCCAUUGUUCGGAGGACCACCUAAUAGGUGGGUAGAGGUUGUUCAACCCUUUCAUUAACCUCUUGGACUCCGGAUGCAAGAAAACUGACAUUCUGUCCCAGCCGGAAUGGUGGGCAGAAACAGUUGCCAGAUGGACUUUUAUAGAAACACUGGCCAACUUCUGCUGCUUCACAUCCGUAUUUGAAUGAAUACAGCAUGAGGAGCCAGUGGUCGGGAUAUGGAAAGACCAUCAGCCCUCAUGACCAAAGAAAUAGUUACAUCUGGUAAAGGCUUUCCCCUCAUGGAGCAAGAUUUAGUCUAAAGGUUCAGUCUCCAGGCCAUCAUAUUCAAUGUCCAGAAGCUGAGAUGGAGCACCUGGCCCCUGUUCUGGGAGAUAGGUUCAUCCUGGAGAAGGGGGAACCACAGCUGCCUCUGCCACCACAGUAAUGAACAUACGGUGGGAGAAGACUUGUGGACUCUCAAAGAAGGAUCUAUCAUUCAGCACAGAAGUAUAAAGAUGUUAUUUCUUAUGAAGAACAAUUUGAACUUUUAUGAGCACUUGAAAAAGUUUAUUGAAACAGCAAACAUUACCAGAAAGCUGCUGUUUACACACUUCAUCAAUAUUAUACUGUUGUUUUUAUCUAUUUCUGUUGUUUGGAUGUUAUUUCUUACGUCCAUAUUUCUAUUGUUGUUUGGAUGUCAUCUUGACUUGAAUGAUUUAUUCAUAUUACUAUACACAUGUAUGUUUCACCUUCAAUAUAAUCUAUAUUUGUA